RNAcentral lists this ribosomal RNA (305 nucleotides) under uncultured bacterium. Its description in RNAcentral is "bacterial SSU rRNA". It matches the Rfam family "Bacterial small subunit ribosomal RNA", at positions 335 to 639 of the family's 1533-position model. The record is from RNAcentral.
UGCCUACGGGGGGCAGCAGUGAGGAAUAUUGGUCAAUGGGCGGGAGCCUGAACCAGCCAAGUCGCGUGAGGGACGACGGUCCUAUGGAUUGUAAACCUCUUUUGUCGGGGAACAAAGGCGCCCACGGGUGGGCGGAUGAGUGUACCCGAAGAAAAAGCAUCGGCUAACUCCGUGCCAGCAGCCGCGGUAAUACGGAGGAUGCGAGCGUUAUCCGGAUUUAUUGGGUUUAAAGGGUGCGUAGGCGGAAUGCCAAGUCAGCGGUAAAAUCGCGGGGCUCAACCUCGCUCCGCCGUUGAAACUGGCGU